CCGGCCCGCGCCGGUCCCGGGGCGCCCGGCGGGACUGGCGGGGCCGCAGCGGGAUCGGCUCCUCCUCGCCGCUGUGCUCGUGUACGGAAUUUCGUCUCUUUAAACUCCAUGUGGUUCUGCCCCGGUAAACGGGACGCGUCCAUCCCCGGCUCGCACGCUCCCUUACAUGCUCAAUCCACACAGGAAGAAGCAGAAGUUUUAGCCAUCUUCCCAUGGCAUCUGACUUUUUUGAAGAGGAGCAGCAUAUUAAAAUGUGAAAGCCUAAGACUAAUCUGCUUUUCAACCACUUGA
RNAcentral lists this long non-coding RNA (291 nucleotides) under Lonchura striata (white-rumped munia). RNAcentral's name for it is "domestica (Bengalese finch) lncRNA (ENSLSDG00000015492.1)". The record is from RNAcentral. Lineage: Eukaryota; Metazoa; Chordata; Aves; Passeriformes; Estrildidae.